This is a long non-coding RNA of Suricata suricatta (meerkat), 680 nucleotides long. RefSeq lists it as uncharacterized. NCBI's taxonomy places the organism in Eukaryota, Metazoa, Chordata, Mammalia, Carnivora, Herpestidae. The transcript has 3 exons. The record is from RefSeq and is a predicted model, not a curated record.
UCUAAUGCUCUUUCCUCUCUGGGAGAAGGCACAUUCCAUGGCACUAUCCCUGCUCAUGGCUAUGUUGUGUGAAGAGCACAUUUAGCUAUUUUCUGUAGGCCUGGCAGCAAAUUAGUCCUCAAAACCACACAGCAAGGAGGGGGACCAAGGGAAGGCAGUCAAGCCCCUGAGGCCUCUACUGUCCAUGAACCCUACUCCCAGCCCCAGGUGCUUGACUUUCCCCAACACAAGUGUGUUAGCCAAGUACCUGUGGAGCACCUGCUUCCACCUGAGCCCUGGAGAAAGCAUAUGGGAUUCAAUUGGCACUGCCCUGAGAAGGUGUGUCAUCUGGCCAAGGCAAGAACUCGGAGACACAGCAACAGUUGAACAUAAAACUACAUGUUCAAGUGCCAGAACUGUCCAAAAUCAUGUUAAGUAUCCAGGAAUAAUGUACCUAUGACACAGCAAUGGCCUUGAAAACCCAAAAACAAUUUUUCAACCUGAAAAUAUCAACUGGCUUGUUCAUUGCCAUACAGCUAGUUGGUGGAAAACAUCAAGAAUCAAGCCCAGUGUUUUGAACUCCUAUCCAGAACUGUGUUACCUAUACCUGCUAUUCCUGCAACUAUUUUGUAUAUACCUUUAAUCUUCCAAAGCACUUCAUGCUCUUGGUUUCAGGCAGCCAAUAAAAGGUCUUAAUCAUC